AAUCUUGCGCAAUGGGCGAAAGCCUGACGCAGCAACGCCGCGUGAGCGAUGAAGGUCUUUGGAUCGUAAAGCUCUUUCGGCAGGGAAGAAACGCCCGGUGCCGAAUACCCAUCGGGUUUGCCGGUACCUGCCGAAGAAGCACCGGCUACCUCUGUGCCAGCAGCCGCGGUAAUACAGAGGGUGCAAGCGUUGUUCGGAAUGACUGGGCGUAAAGCGAGUGUAGGCGGGAUGGUGUGUCGGGUGUGAAAGCCCUCGGCUCAACCGAGGAAGUGCGCCCGAAACUGCCAUUCUUGAGUGUCGGAGAGGGUGACGGAAUUCCCGGUGUAGAGGUGAAAUUCGUAGAUAUCGGGAGGAACACCAGUGGCGAAGGCGGUCACCUGGACGAACACUGACGCUGAGACUCGAAAGCGUGGGGAGCAAACAGG
RNAcentral lists this ribosomal RNA (425 nucleotides) under uncultured bacterium. Its description in RNAcentral is "partial 16S ribosomal RNA". It matches the Rfam family "Bacterial small subunit ribosomal RNA", at positions 360 to 776 of the family's 1533-position model. The record is from RNAcentral.